RNAcentral lists this ribosomal RNA (523 nucleotides) under Actinopyga agassizii. RNAcentral describes it as "Actinopyga agassizi partial 16S ribosomal RNA". It matches the Rfam family "Bacterial large subunit ribosomal RNA", at positions 1816 to 2597 of the family's 2925-position model. The record is from RNAcentral. Lineage: Eukaryota; Metazoa; Echinodermata; Holothuroidea; Aspidochirotida; Holothuriidae.
UAGCCCCUUGAAAAAAUAAGGGGUCCAGCCUGCCCAGUGGUCCAAAAACUAAACGGCCGCGGUAUCCUGACCGUGCAAAGGUAGCAUAAUCACUUGUCUUUUAAAUGAAGACUAGCAUGAACGGCAAAACCUUCCUUAGCUGUCUCCCCCGUCCCCCUCCAAAAUUCGUGAUUAGGUGAAGAACCCUAAAUAAAACAGAAAGACGAGAAGACCCUGUCGAGCUUCAGCUAAAAAAAGAACUAAACGAUAAAUAAUCAGUCAUAAUCUUAUAAUAGCUUUGGUUGGGGCAACCACGGAGAAAAUAUUAAUCCUCCGGAAAUAGUGGUAGAUCCAAACAUUUCUCCACCAUACUAAACAAAGAGAACCAGUACCUGGUAAACGGAAAAAGUUACCGCAGGGAUAACAGCGUUAUCUCCUCUAAGAGUCCACAUUGACGAGGAGGCUUGCGACCUCGAUGUUGGAUUGGGGCACCCACAGAGUGCAGAAGCUCUGAAAGGUCGGACUGUUCGUCCGUUAAAGCCCC